AACAAUUAAUAGGAUUGAAAACAGAAGAGCAAAAUUUAAUUUUUUUUUGGUAAUAAACGACUAGAUUCCAUUCAACAAAAACAUAGUAUUACAUAAGGGGAGCUAUUCAUGGUGGUUCAACAGUAAGAUUAUACAUGAGAAGAUGUCCAUCCCUGGGUGGUUCUAAAGUGGGAACCAAUGACAAAAAAGAAGCUAUGUUACUAAAGGAUGUUGGAGCAGCUAUUGACGAGAUGAGUGCAAAAUAGUUUGAGCUGCAGUAGGGUCUUCGAUUGAAGCUGGACGUACACGUCGAACAUAAUGCGGGCCAUGAGUAUCUGCAUGCAGUAGAUCUACGACAAAAGAGGGCGCCUCAUAGUAUGUGUUGGCGGUGAUAUCUGGUGAUGUAUCAAAAAAUUGCUUUGCUAAGCAAUCUGCAACCAUAUUUUGCUCCCGAUAUGUAUGCUUGAUCAUGGGAUUACGUAGUUGGUGGAUGACGGAUCUGCAAUCAUUUAACAGAUGUGAGUAAGCAAGGUUAUCGUUUUUAAGAAAUUAUAUUACCUCUGUGGAAUCUGUUUCGACUUCCAAAAAGAGUAGGUUGUGGCUUAGAGCCAUCUGGAGUCCUUUCAAUAGAGCAAGUAGUUCCAUGUGUAUACGUCUUGUUUGAUAUAGCAGUAUUUGACUCACAAAUUAUAAAAUAUUAAUUUAACUUAAUUACAUAUUAUAUUAAUAGAGAUAAAGAAAACAAUAAAUAACUGAACCUCCAUGUGGUUGGAUGGAUGAUCGAGAUUCCUCUACUCUUAACUAUAGAUCUCGACUUUAAGCCUUCGGAAGGAAGAAACUCCUAAUAUGAAGUGUUCCUUACUUAAAUGCGCGGUGCGCCCUACGAGGCACGAAUCUAGAUUAGUCAUGUUAACAAAUUUUGGGUACCAAAUGAUUAUACCAAAAAAAAUUAUCACAAAAAUUGAGACAGCAGAAGCGAAAUAAAAAAAUCAAGUAUUACCCGUAACCUAUAGUCAAA
This 997-nucleotide long non-coding RNA is filed under the name Nicotiana tabacum (common tobacco). Its description in RNAcentral is "long non-coding RNA (NTAB_LNC019343)". Lineage: Eukaryota; Viridiplantae; Streptophyta; Magnoliopsida; Solanales; Solanaceae. The record is from RNAcentral.